UGACUGAGUGAUAGAGAGUGAUUGGUGCAAUAUGAUGAACACUAUCAGAUCCAACUUUGAGUAUGGACAAUGAUGAGUGUGUGUAUACGAGCUUUUUAACUCUGAUU
Molecule: microRNA precursor, 107 nt
Filed under: Schistosoma mansoni
Lineage: Eukaryota; Metazoa; Platyhelminthes; Trematoda; Strigeidida; Schistosomatidae
Description: microRNA sma-mir-8447 precursor
Source: miRBase by way of RNAcentral